Molecule: ribosomal RNA, 166 nt
Filed under: Englerodendron korupense
Lineage: Eukaryota; Viridiplantae; Streptophyta; Magnoliopsida; Fabales; Fabaceae
Description: 5.8S ribosomal RNA
Rfam family: 5.8S ribosomal RNA
About the family: 5.8S ribosomal RNA (5.8S rRNA) is a component of the large subunit of the eukaryotic ribosome.
Source: RNAcentral
AACGACUCUCGGCAACGGAUAUYUCGGCUCUCGCAUCGAUGAAGAACGUAGCGAAAUGCGAUACUUGGUGUGAAUUGCAGAAUCCCGUGAACCAUCGAGUCUUUGAACGCAAGUUGCGCCCGAAGCCAUUAGGCCGAGGSCASKUCUGGUUGGGUGUCASGMAAGK